UGUCAGCCAUUUCCUCUCUUAGGGUC
Molecule: non-coding RNA, 26 nt
Filed under: Homo sapiens (human)
Lineage: Eukaryota; Metazoa; Chordata; Mammalia; Primates; Hominidae
Source: RNAcentral